Molecule: ribosomal RNA, 3016 nt
Filed under: Bifidobacterium platyrrhinorum
Lineage: Bacteria; Bacillati; Actinomycetota; Actinomycetes; Bifidobacteriales; Bifidobacteriaceae
Description: partial 23S ribosomal RNA
Rfam family: Bacterial large subunit ribosomal RNA
Source: RNAcentral
GUUGGUAAGGGCGUGGUGGUGGAUGCCUUGGCAGACAGGACCGAUGAAGGACGUGUGGGGCCGCGAUAGGCCUGGGGGAGCCGCCGACAGGGCUUUGAUCCCAGGAUUUCCGAAUGGGGGAACCCGCCAGCCGUCAUGGGCUGGCACCGCACUUGGUGCGGGGGGUACGCAGGGAAGUGAAACAUCUCAGUACCUGCAGGAAUGGAUACUCCGUGAGUAGUGGCGAGCGAAAGCGGAUCAGGCCAAACCGGUUGCGUGUGAUACCCGUCGGGGGUUGCGUUUCCGGUGUUGUGGGAUCGUUUGUCCGGUUGCCGACGUGGCCGGCGGGAGUGAUAAAACCGUGUGUGAGGCGAACAGGAUUGGAUGCCUGGCCGUGGAGGGUGAUGGCCCCGUAGCCGUAUGCGCAUGGUCUUCCGAUGAUGAGUCCCAAGUAGUACGGGCCCCGUGGAAUCCCGUAUGAAUCCGCCCAGACCGUUGGGUAAGCCUAAGUAUUCCUGUCUGACCGAUAGCGUACUAGUACCGUGAGGGAAAGGUGAAAAGCACCCCGGGAGGGGAGUGAAAGAGUUCCUGAAACCGCGCGCCUACGAUCCGUCGGAGCCUUUCGGGGUGACGGCGUGCCUAUCGAAAAAUGAGUCUGCGAGUCAGUGGCGGGUGGCGAGCAUAACCCGUGUGGGGUAUGCGUAGCGAAAGCGAGUCUUAAAAGGCGUAUGAGUCGCUCGUCCUGGACCCGAAGCGGGAUGAUCUAGCCCUGAGCAGGUUGAAGCGCGGGUAAGACCGUGUGGAGGACCGAACCCACCUGGGUUGAAAACCGGGGGGAUGACUUGGGGUUAGGGGUGAAAGGCCAAUCAAAUUCCGUGAUAGCUGGUUCUCUCCGAAAUGCAUUUAGGUGCAGCGUCGGGUGAGUGCCUGCGGGGGGUAGAGCUACUGGAUGCUUGAGGGCCCAUACCGGGUACCGACAGCAACCAAACUCCGAAUACCCGUCAGGUGUAUCCCGGCAGUGAGUCGGCGGGGGAUAAGCUCCGUCGUCGAGAGGGAGACAGCCCAGAUCGUCGUCUAAGGUCCCGAAGCGCGUGCUAAGUGGGAAAGGAUGUGGAGUCGCAUAGACAGCCAGGAGGUUGGCUCAGAAGCAGCCAUCCUUGAAAGAGUGCGUAACAGCUCACUGGUCUAGUGGUUCCGCGCCGACAAUGUAGCGGGGCUCAAGCACGCCACCGAAGACGCGGCAGCCGCCUAUGGCGGCUGGGUAGGAGAGCGUCCUGUAUGGGUCGAAGCGGGGGCGGAAGCGUCCGUGGACCGUAUGGGAGUGAGAAUGCAGACAUGAGUAGCGAGAGCGGGGUGAGGAUCCCCGCCGCCGGAUGACCAAGGGUUCCAGGGCCACGUUCGUCGUCCCUGGGUGAGUCGGGUCCUAAGGCGAGGCCGACAGGCGUAGUCGAAUGGAUGAACGGGUUGAUAUUCCCGUACCGGCCAUGAACCGAUCAGACCCGAAACGGUGAUGCUGACCUCCGGGUGUUUCCGAUCCAUCCUUCGGGGUGGUGAGGGGAUGCCUGUUGGGAACCGAGCCGGAGUAGGGUAGCGUGUGGGGUGACACGGACGGGUAGCCGGCCGCGGAGGUGGUUUUCCGUGGCCAAGCGGGUAAGGGCCUUCCCCAGGCAAAUCCGGGGAUGGAUGGUCCGAGACGCGAUGGGACGCCCCUUUGGGGUGGAUCCGGUGAACCCGGCCGUCGAGAAAAGCCUCGGCGCGAGGGUCAUGUGCCGCCCGUACCCCAAACCGACACUGGUGGUCAGGUAGAGUAUACCAAGGCGAUCGAGCGAAUCCUGGUCAAGGAACUCGGCAAAUCACUCCCGUUCCUUCGGUUUAAGGGAGACCCCCUAUGGUGAACCAACUUGCUUGGGGAGCUUUGGGGGGUGGCACAAUCCAGGGGGUAGCGACUGUUUACCAAAAACACAGGUGCAUGCGAAGACGUAAGUCGCUGUAUAUGCACUGACGCCUGCCCGGUGCCGGAAGGUUAAGAGGAUCCGUCAGCAUUUCGGUGUGAAGCGGUGAAUUCAAGCCCCGGUAAACGGCGGUGGUAACUAUAACCAUCCUAAGGUAGCGAAAUUCCUUGUCGGGUAAGUUCCGACCUGCACGAAUGGCGUAACGACUUCCCCACUGUCUCGACCAGGAGCUCGGCGAAAUUGCAGUACGAGUAAAGAUGCUCGUUAAGCGCAGAAGGACGAAAAGACCCCGGGACCUUUACUAUACCUUGGUAUUGGCAUUCGGUGUGGAUUGUGUAGCAUAGGCGGGAGACUUCGAAGCCGUGACGCCAGUCAUGGUGGAGUCGCAAGGUGAAAUACCGCUCUGUUCGCAUUGGAUGUCUAACCACGACACGUGAUCCGUGUCUGGGACAGUGCCUGGCGGGUAGUUUAACUGGGGCGGUUGCCUCCCAAAGAGUAACGGAGGCGCUCAAAGGUUCCCUCAGCCCGGUUGGCAAUCGGGUGGCGAGUGUAAGUGCACAAGGGAGCUUGACUGCGAGACUGACGGGUCGAGCAGGGACGAAAGUCGGAACUAGUGAUCCGGUGCCGGUGUACGGACGCGGCAUCGCUCAACGGAUAAAAGGUACCCCGGGGAUAACAGGCUGAUCAUUCCCAAGAGUCCAUAUCGACGGGAUGGUUUGGCACCUCGAUGUCGGCUCGUCGCAUCCUGGGGCUGGAGCAGGUCCCAAGGGUUCGGCUGUUCGCCGAUUAAAGCGGCACGCGAGCUGGGUUCAGAACGUCGUGAGACAGUUUGGUCUCUAUCCUCUGCGCUCGUUGGAAUCUUGAGGAGACCUGCCCAUAGUACGAGAGGACCUGGGUGGACGAACCUCUGGUAUGCCGGUUGUCACGCCAGUGGCACGGCCGGUUGGCUACGUUCGGAAGGGAUAACCGCUGAAAGCAUCUAAGCGGGAAGCCCGCUCCAAGAUAAGGAUUCCUGGAACCUCCUCGGAGGUUCGUGACCCCCCAUGCAGAACACGUGGUCGAUAGGCCGGACGUGGAAGCCGUGC